Molecule: long non-coding RNA, 3295 nt
Organism: Bombus impatiens (common eastern bumble bee)
Lineage: Eukaryota; Metazoa; Arthropoda; Insecta; Hymenoptera; Apidae
Exons: 2
Source: RefSeq, a predicted model, not a curated record
UACGAGCCUAUUAGGCAAAUUUCGUGGCGAGCACGCUCGCCGACUGCAAAUAUCGCUCGGUCAGCGCCGAGCAGGAUACCACUUCCGUCGUGGCGCGGCCGGGUGGUCGGCGCUUAACGCGGCCGACAUGUUCCGCGCCUCCUUCUUCUCGCAAAUUUUCGAAACGCGUUACAAGUCGCAAGAAACGUAGCCUGGCCGUCACCAGACCCUUGAUAACAGAGAGCGGACACGGGCCGAAUCGCCAAUGGGACAGCCCGGGCCAGUUGCGUCUACUAUCUUGUCCAACGAUACCCGACAAAUUUCGUGGCUGUCAUUCGGGAUAACAUCGAAAGGAAUCAGGGCACUGUGACUGGAUCGGUCGUCCCUGGAGUAUCGCGUCUACCGUGCUAGUGGCUCACGCACCGUAGCACAGAGAGGCAACACAGCCGUCUUGGUUGCACCCUGAAAUAAGGUAGCCCCGACGACGAACCAAGGAGCCGACGUGGGUGGCCCCAGAGAGAUUUGCCUUCCGCUAAAUAUCGCCUUUGCGCCCUCGACGUGGGUGGCCCUCUCUCUUUCUCUCGCUGCUCGCUGGCCGAGGGGAAUCCUCAUCCUCCGUGGCGUGGCUGCUUUUGCCCUCCUUCGUCCUCCGUCCAGGAGCAACCGUUGUUGUCUCCUGUCCUCCUCCUCCUCCUCCUCCUCUUCCUCCUCUAUCUUCUCUUCCUUCGUCGUCAUCUUCUUCUUCCUUCUCCUCCUCUUUCUCUUCCUCUUCUCCUUCACUCUGCCUACCAUUUCUCUAUGUAUGCGUGAUAUUGGAGGAUCGCGACGAGGAUUCCUCUGGAAAGAAACGGUUCCAGGGAAAGGAGAGCGGCUCUCAAAGAUGAAUAGGUGUUAUUAUAGGUAAAGGUAAUGAAAGAUAUUGUUACGCUGUAAUAAAUAGUAUGCGGAAUCCGAAGGCGAGCCCAUGGUGAGCCGAGAUCGGUGCAAGCUGAACUGAGACGGUAAUGAUCGGUGUUCGAAGCCGUUUCCCUUCUUGCUUUAUUGAGGCUAGCCAGGCAACCCGUUUGAGGGUAGAUUUAGUGUUUCACGGGGAAAUUAAGGUCGAUUAGAACCCGGCGAAUGAGGAGUGGCGAGAGCUGCUCUUAGCGUUUGCACGGUGAUCAUACGCCAGGAGCGAGACGCACAGGCUAAUUGUCCAUUGCCAUUGUGCCCUUCUUUUUACCCAUUUAAGCGGUGAUUAACGUUAAUUGUUGCGUUCUCCGGAAUAAUUUCUUGAUGGCUCGUCGAUGGUCCUGCGUGUAAUUAUAUGGAAACAAUAAAUGAUUAAUAAUUAUGAGAUUAACGAAUUAAAUGAGAUAGUAAGAUCGUUGUUCGAACAAGUAACAACAAUCACUGUAGAGGCAACUUACUUGCCAUAUCGUAUCGUAGAAUUUACGCUCGUUUAUUAGCUUGAGGAUAAUCCAGGCUUUAGAACAUAGACUUUCCUAUUAAUUGAAUUAUCAUGGAAGUGUAAUUCAUUUCUAAUAGGAAAUAACUGGGUGCUAAUAAAGUUGUAAUCGACUCUAGUUUCUUAAUAAGUACAAUUUUUUCACAAGUAUCACUUGUCGUUCUAAGAAACAACCUCCUUCCUUUCAAAAAAAGAUGACCCUAAAAGAUCUGCUGAAACACUAACCUCAGCAGACUCGGUCAAUAGACGGGUUUCGAAAUUUAAUUUAAAAUUCCACGUUCAUCUAACUUUCCGUAAACUCUUACACUGUCUUGUUAAUUGUUAAUAUAACAAUUUACCUAAAGUCAGAUGAGCAAAAGAAACAACGACGAAUGCACAAUUUGAAAUUGAAUUUUGAAACUUGCUAAGAAUACUUCUCAAUACUUAACAAUACUUCUCCACCGACUAAUUGUUAAUUUUUUAUCUAACAGAAAUAUAAUUCUUCCUCGUUUUGUUUAAUCUUCUUCGUAAAAUUCAUAACAGGAGAGCCUGCCCUCCCUCCGACGUAUAUACUCGUCGUCGUUUGAUUUGAACUACGCGUUCCCUAGGGGAUUCUUAAAACGAAAUUCCCCACGUACCUCGAAAAUAACACUUAUUUAUCUAUUUUAUCGAACGUGCGCUACGAUCCGGAGCCAAAGGGUCUCCAACUUCUCGAGCGAAUGGCUUGCGUAAUCAAUUAGCACCCUCGGCGAGCGGCACGCGGAGGAAUGUCGAACGUGUGCAACUCGCGGCGUAACGUUGCACAGCUAAGAAUGAGAAUUCCGGCGGAGAAGAAGACAGACGGAAAGAACAGGCAGAAAAAGUUGGCCAAUCGUACAGUAUAAAUAACGUCCGGCGCGCGCAAGAACGACGCGAGCGAGGGCGUUUUUACGCGCGGUUCUGCCAAGACGCAAAGGAAAAGAAAAGAAAGCGAAACAAAACGGAAGAGUAGGCGAGCUAAGUCGAAACGCGUAUACAGUGGCAUGCAAAAGUUUUCGGUUGCGUAGACUUUUCCCUCUCUUUUCUCUUUAAUUUCAGUAUCAUUUGUUAUAUGUUAUACUGUACAUAUAUAUACAGGGUGUCCCAGAACGGGUAGCACAAUCGAGGAGCGCUAGGAUCUACGUGAAAAGAUAUGUGUGAAAUGUAGAAUAUGUUUUUUACGUUUGAGACUUCGUUGUUGAGAAAACCGAGCUUGGAAAUUUGAUUGCUAUAAAUUUGGAUAGUUGGCGAUUUGAUACAUUGUGAGAUCGGCUGCGAAGAUAUUUUUCCAUUUGAGGCUUCGUUUUCGAGAAAACAGAGUUUCAUCGUGUUUACUCAACAAUUUUAUUUCUUCCAGUUAAAAAAUAUCCACGUUUGAAUUUUAUUUGGAGAUCUGUCGGAUGCAGUUGAUGACCGAGUUUGAAUACAAGUUUUUGAGAGGUGAGUUGAAUGGCGACUUCUCAGCGAAGAAACUUUAAAAAAUACCACUUUUGUACAACUUGUCAUUAAACACAUUUGUUUCUUCCCAGCGUCCAAGGGAAAUUUAUUAUAUUUUUAUUUCAGUUUAUUUUUUUUUUCUAAUAUUAUUAUUAUUUUUCUGUCAAAAUACCUACGUGCCGAAUAUGGAGGAGCACGUUGAGUGUACGCAACAUGCAACAUGUCAAUGAUGCUGCCACUGAUGAUGAUGGUAGAGGAUUAUAUUCAUUCCAUAGCGAGGAUUACAAUAGACGGAAUAAUAGUGAAGAAUAGGUGAGAUGUAUUCGCUGUUUUCGUUGGGAUCAUGAAGAAUGUGCUGCAGGUUCGUGGUGUAGGAAACCUGUAGGAAACAAAGAAAAUGAAUGUGAUAUAAUACAAGCUAAAAAUUGCAACAUA